Molecule: unclassified non-coding RNA, 249 nt
Filed under: uncultured fungus
Lineage: Eukaryota; Fungi
Description: partial contains 5.8S ribosomal RNA, internal transcribed spacer 2, and large subunit ribosomal RNA
Source: RNAcentral
AACGCACAUUGCGCCCCUUGGUAUUCCAUGGGGCAUGCCUGUUCGAGCGUCAUUUACACCCUCAAGCUCUGCUUGGUGUUGGGCGUCUGUCCCGCUUCGUGCGUGGACUCGCCCUAAAGAUAUUGGCAGCGGUCAUGCCAGCUUCUCGCGCAGCACAUUGCGCUUCUCGAGGUACCGGCGGAUCAGCGUCCAUCAAGCCCACUUCCACAGUUUGACCUCGGAUCAGGUAGGGAUACCCGCUGAACUUAA